Molecule: long non-coding RNA, 2154 nt
Organism: Argiope bruennichi
Lineage: Eukaryota; Metazoa; Arthropoda; Arachnida; Araneae; Araneidae
Exons: 3
Source: RefSeq, a predicted model, not a curated record
GCGGUAGAAUGCAAUGCAGAUGUUUUAUUUAUUUAUUUGUUUAUAAACAUCUGGUGCUCUUGCACUGGUGAAGAUUUAUGAAUUUCUCAUAAUUUUCAUUUAGCUGGAUGAUAUUAACUACAAUUGCGUGUUUACACGCACAAUAAUAUUUUAUUUAUGGGUGUAAAAAUCGUUAUCCCAGUAAAUAGCAGUGAUGCAAUUGAAAGUACUUAUCCAAAUGAACAAGCUAAUUAUUUGAUUGAGGAAUAUAUGUGGAGUCUUUUGAUUGGCAUGGAACAGUAUCUUUCACAACACUGCAGAUCCUUUUCAGAUGAAGUAAAAAGAAUAAGUUUAAAAUGGAACAAUGCUUUGCAAAUUGGAAAUCUACUGAGACUUGGUGCAAAAACAAAGUAUAUAUUUUUUUAUGGGAGGAGUCCUGUUGAGAAUUGAAGUACAGAAAAAUCAACCUGCUAUUUCAACUUUCAGUGAAUUAUUUCAUUUACAUAUGUAUGAAAUGUGUUUGGAAAUAGAAUUUUAUGAAGUAUAAAGACUUUGAAAAUUUUACUGUUGUUUUCAGGACUGUUGCCAUAGUAAAAAUGGCCAUUACCUAAAAAAAAUAAUAAUAAUAAAAAAAAAUUGGAUCUAACGAUUUUAAAUCUUUUCAGCAUUUUUGAGUUUCUAAAAAAUUAUUUUAUUUGUUUUUCAGACUUAAAAUCUAUAUAAAUGAGGAUAGUAUUAUAAUUUUAUUUACUGUUUCCAAAACUUUUUUAUUUAUUUUGUUUUAAUUUUUCCAAAUAUUGGAACAAUGAAAACCAAAAAAGUUUUCUUUAACAUUUUCUGCGACAUUAUCAGAAAAAGUGUACUAGUUUUCUUUAAAGCUUUGUAGAUUGUAUUUUGCAAUUCAUUAUACCUGUUUUUAAUAUAUAUCAGGAAAACUUAUAUAUGGAUGUUUAUAUUUGUAUUUUAUCUAAAGAUUUUUCUUCUCAUGUUGCAUAAAUACUUAAACAUGCUUGCCUUUAAUUACAGUUUUUUUUCCCUGACAUUGCAUAUGAAUUCAGUAAUGAAAGGAAGCAACAAACAUUUAAUUAAUUGAUGAAGGCAGAGGGCAUUUUACUCUGACAAUUGGCUUCUUAGCAAAUAUUUCCCAUGUUUUUUUUGUGGGACAUAUUUACAUUGGUAUGGUAUUACAUUAGACAAUUGUGUAUUUUAAGGAUUAAUUAAUGAUAAAUAAAUAUUAAUUUAAAAUAUUUAUUUAUCAAAAAAUAAUUUAAAAAUUUAAAUAUUUUUUGAUUAAAAUAGUUUUUUUUUGAUAAUUAUUACUUAUAGAUUUUGAAGAAUCAGAUAGAAUGGAUAUGUGAACAUUUUUGUGACCUUAAUAUUAUUUUGUGUAAUUCUAUUUGGAAACAUGAACCAUAAUUUAAUAAUUCUUAUUUUAGAAGAAUAACUGUUUUUCUAGGGAUGUUUUUUAUGUUGCUGUAUAUUAUAUUUAUUUAGAUGUCAGUAUAAUAUCAAAAUUUUAAAUUAUUUAUUUGGAAGUAAAAUUAUUUAAAUUCUGGAUUUAAAUGUUUAUUUAAUAUUUAAGAACAUUUGAAUUAGCUACAUUUUCAAAUUAGUUUAUUUGAAAAAUAUUUCUUUAUGUAACUUCAGUACUGCAUCCUGUAAUUCUUUUAUUUCACCAUUUCAGUUCUUUUAAAUUUUAGAUAAAAAGUCAUUUUUUUUAUUUUUAGGCUUUUUUUUUUUUCUUCUAAAUAUUAGAAAAUUUAACACAGUGAAAAUUCAGAUCAUGCAUUGUUUUUAAUGGAAUUUAAUUUGAUUAUAAUGUUCUAUGAGAUUAUUAAGAUUGACUUUUGGGAAUUCUUGAUUUAGGUGUUUUUAUUUAAUAUUAGUAUGUUUAAGGAACUAAAUUCCUUAUUCAUUUAAAUAUAUAAUUCAUUUAAAUACAUUUAUAUAUUAAUAUUCAUUAAAUAUAUAAAUGGUAAGAAUGCUUUCCCUUAAAUGCAAAUCUAAGAGUGAUUUCUAUCUACCAAAAACAUUAUUCCUUUCUCUCUAUAGAAUUUGUAUUAAUAAUUGUAUAUUCUCAUGAUUUAGAUGUAAGAAUUUUAAGUUUUAAUUCUAGUCAAUAUUGUUUUGUAUAUAUUAUGAAUUUUUUCCUAUGAUGCAAAUAAGCAAUAAUUC